GUGGGGAAUAUUGGGCAAUGGGCGAAAGCCUGACCCAGCAACGCCGCGUGAGGGAAGAAGGCCUUCGGGUUGUAAACCUCUGUCCUUGGUGACGAAAAAAAUGACGGUAGCCAAGGAGGAAGCCCCGGCUAACUACGUGCCAGCAGCCGCGGUAAUACGUAGGGGGCGAGCGUUGUCCGGAAUUACUGGGCGUAAAGGGUGCGUAGGUGGCCUUUUAAGUUGGAUGUGAAAUACCCGGGCUUAACUUGGGGGGUGCAUCUAAUACUGGAGGGCUAGAGUGCAGGAGAGGGAAGCGGAAAUCCUAGUGUAGCGGUGAAAUGCGUAGAUAUUAGGAGGAACACCAGUGGCGAAGGCGACUUACUGGACUGUAACUGACGCUGAGGCGCGAAAGUGUGGGGAGCAAACAGGAUUAGAUACCCUAGUAGUCC
Molecule: ribosomal RNA, 428 nt
Filed under: uncultured bacterium
Lineage: Bacteria
Description: partial 16S ribosomal RNA
Rfam family: Bacterial small subunit ribosomal RNA
Source: RNAcentral